RNAcentral lists this ribosomal RNA (579 nucleotides) under uncultured bacterium. RNAcentral's name for it is "bacterial SSU rRNA". It matches the Rfam family "Bacterial small subunit ribosomal RNA", at positions 338 to 916 of the family's 1533-position model. The record is from RNAcentral.
CCUACGGGAGGCAGCAGUAAGGAAUAUUGGUCAAUGGAGGCAACUCUGAACCAGCCAUGCCGCGUGCAGGAUGAAGGCCCUAUGGGUCGUAAACUGCUUUUACACAAGAGAAAACCCGAGUACGUGUACUCGGUUGAUAGUAUUGUGAGAAUAAGCAUCGGCUAACUUCGUGCCAGCAGCCGCGGUAAGACGAAGGAUGCAAGCGUUAUCCGGAUUCAUUGGGUUUAAAGGGUGCGUAGGCGGACCUGUAAGUCAGUGGUGAAAUCUCUUUGCUUAACAAAGAAACUGCCAUUGAUACUGCAAGUCUAGAGUAUAGAUGACGUUGGCGGAAUAUGACAUGUAGUGGUGAAAUACUUAGAUAUGUCAUAGAACACCGAUUGCGAAGGCAGCUAACGAAACUAUAACUGACGCUGAGGCACGAAAGUGCGGGGAUCAAACAGGAUUAGAUACCCUGGUAGUCCGCACCGUAAACGAUGAUUACUCGUUGUUGGCAAUAUGACCGUCAGCGACCAAGCGAAAGCGAUAAGUAAUCCACCUGGGGAGUACGCCGGCAACGGUGAAACUCAAAGGAAUUGACGG